AUUGAACGCUGGCGGCAUGCCUAACACAUGCAAGUCGAACGGGGGUAGCGAUACCCUAGUGGCGGACGGGUGAGUAACGCGUAGGAAUCUGCCCCGUAGUGGGGGACAACCUGGGGAAACCCAGGCUAAUACCGCAUGAGCUCGGGAGAGGAAAGCGGGGGACCUUCGGGCCUCGCGCUAUGGGAUGAGCCUACGUCCGAUUAGCUAGUUGGCGGGGUAAGGGCCCACCAAGGCGAUGAUCGGUAGCUGGUCUGAGAGGACGAUCAGCCACACUGGGACUGAGACACGGCCCAGACUCCUACGGGAGGCAGCAGUGGGGAAUAUUGGACAAUGGGCGCAAGCCUGAUCCAGCAAUGCCGCGUGGGUGAAGACGGCCUGCGGGUUGUAAAGCCCUUUAGGCGGGGAGGAACGGCGUCGUGCGAACAGUGCGGCGUUCUGACGUUACCCGCGGAAUAAGCACCGGCUAACUCCGUGC
Molecule: ribosomal RNA, 475 nt
Filed under: uncultured Chromatiales bacterium
Lineage: Bacteria; Pseudomonadati; Pseudomonadota; Gammaproteobacteria; Chromatiales
Description: bacterial SSU rRNA
Rfam family: Bacterial small subunit ribosomal RNA
Source: RNAcentral